RNAcentral lists this ribosomal RNA (91 nucleotides) under uncultured bacterium. RNAcentral's name for it is "partial 16S ribosomal RNA". The record is from RNAcentral.
UAAAGCCCUUUCGGCUGGGGAGAAGGGUGUCAUGGUAAAUAAUCAUGGCAUCUGACGGUACCAGAAGAAGAAGCACCGGCUAAUUUCGUGC